Molecule: ribosomal RNA, 175 nt
Filed under: Habenaria subfiliformis
Lineage: Eukaryota; Viridiplantae; Streptophyta; Magnoliopsida; Asparagales; Orchidaceae
Also listed under: 6 other names
Description: 5.8S ribosomal RNA
Rfam family: 5.8S ribosomal RNA (bases 4-159)
About the family: 5.8S ribosomal RNA (5.8S rRNA) is a component of the large subunit of the eukaryotic ribosome. It is transcribed by RNA polymerase I as part of the 45S precursor that also contains 18S and 28S rRNA.
Source: RNAcentral
UAGGACUCUCGGCAAUGGAUAUCUUGGCUCUCGCAUCGAUGAAGAGCGCAGCGAAAUGCGAUACGUGGUGCGAAUUGCAGAAUCCCGUGAACCAUCGAGUUUUUGAACGCAAGUUGCGCCCGAGGCCAGAUGGCCAAGGGCACGUCCGCCUGGGCGUCAAAUGUUGAUUCGCUCC